GCUGGGUGCAGUGAUAUGUGCCUGUAAUCCAAGUCACUAUGGAGGCUGAGAUUGGAGGAUCACGAAUUCAAGGCUAUCCUGGGCAACAAGUGAGACCCCAUCUCAA
RNAcentral lists this small RNA (106 nucleotides) under Marmota monax (woodchuck). Lineage: Eukaryota; Metazoa; Chordata; Mammalia; Rodentia; Sciuridae. The record is from RNAcentral.